AUUUAGUUGAUGAGUCCCAAAUAGGACGAAACGUACAUCCUGAAU
This 45-nucleotide non-coding RNA is filed under the name Schistosoma haematobium. The record is from RNAcentral. Lineage: Eukaryota; Metazoa; Platyhelminthes; Trematoda; Strigeidida; Schistosomatidae.